AGUGAACGCUGGCGGUAGGCCUAACACAUGCAAGUCGAACGGCAGCACAGUAAGAGCUUGCUCUUACGGGUGGCGAGUGGCGGACGGGUGAGGAAUACAUCGGAAUCUACUUUUUCGUGGGGGAUAACGUAGGGAAACUUACGCUAAUACCGCAUACUACCUACGGGUUAAAGCAGGGGAUCUUCGGACCUUGCGCGAUUGAAUUAGCCGAUGUCGGAUUAGCUAGUUGGCGGGGUAAAGGCCCACCAAGGCGACGAUCCGUAGCUGGUCUGAGAGGAUGAUCAGCCACACUGGAACUGAGACACGGUCCAGACUCCUACGGGAGGCAGCAGUGGGGAAUAUUGGACAAUGGGCGCAAGCCUGAUCCAGCCACACCGCGUGGGUGAAGAAGGCCUUCGGGUUGUAAAGCCCUUUUGUUGGGAAAGAAAAGCAGCAGGUGAAUACCCCGCUGUUCUGACGGUACCCAAAGAAUAAGCACCGGCUAACUUCGUG
RNAcentral lists this ribosomal RNA (492 nucleotides) under uncultured bacterium. RNAcentral describes it as "partial 16S ribosomal RNA". It matches the Rfam family "Bacterial small subunit ribosomal RNA", at positions 29 to 507 of the family's 1533-position model. The record is from RNAcentral.